UCUAUCGUCACACGUCAAUUACCAGUUCCCUAAUUACGAAAAGUUUCAUAUGACAUUAACCUCAAAAAUGAUCUUUGAAAACAAACAACAACAAACAGAGCAACAAAUGAACAAAUAACUACAUAAUGACUGAUAAUGAUAAGUGAUUAUUAUUAUCACUUUAAUGAUAUGAAGGCUGAUGAAGUUUUAGACAACCAAUACAAGAUUUUAGAACUUGACAUCGUGAUAAACAAAUUGUACAUUCAGGAACUCGUUUAAAUAUUAUAGGUUGAUUGACGAAUACUCUACAGUUGAUUAGAGCCCAUGAUGAU
Molecule: long non-coding RNA, 311 nt
Organism: Sitophilus oryzae (rice weevil)
Lineage: Eukaryota; Metazoa; Arthropoda; Insecta; Coleoptera; Curculionidae
Exons: 3
Source: RefSeq, a predicted model, not a curated record